CAAUAGCGUAUAUUAAAGUUGUUGCAGUUAAAAAGCUCGUAGUUGGAUUUGUGGCGUACGGUGUGUUCCGGGCACUUGUUGUCUGAGUAACCUGCUGUUGCCAUCCUUGGGUGGAACCUGUGUGGCAUUAGGUUGUCGUGCAGGGGAUGCCCAUCAUUUACUGUGAAAAAAUUAGAGUGUACAAAGCAGGCUUAUGCCGUUGAAUAUAUUAGCAUGGAAUAAUGAGAUAGGACUUUUUUGCUAUUUUGUUGGUUUGCGCAAAGAGGUAAUGAUUAAUAGGGACAGUUGGGGGUAUUCGUAUUCCAUUGUCAGAGGUGAAAUUCUUGGAUUUUUGGAAGACGAACUACUGCGAAAGCAUUUACCAAGGAUGUUUUCAUUAA
RNAcentral lists this ribosomal RNA (380 nucleotides) under uncultured eukaryote. RNAcentral's name for it is "partial 18S ribosomal RNA". It matches the Rfam family "Eukaryotic small subunit ribosomal RNA", at positions 592 to 976 of the family's 1831-position model. The record is from RNAcentral.